AAAUCAGUUAUGGAAAAAUUCUAUUAGUAAUAAGAAAAAAAUUCUAAAGAGCAAUGAUAGUGAUAAUAAACUACUGAGAUGUUGAUUUUCUUUUUCGUUCUUCAACCAUCCAUCUAGUUUCCUCCUUUGCCAUCUGUCAGUUUCGCCGACUUGAACGAUGCUAGCAUCCAGCCAUUCAAUUUCUCUUUUCUUCUCCCACCUUUGAGAUCGUCUUCUUCUACCCUUGAGGGUGUGGAUCUCUCGGAGAAAACCCUAGUCGCACCUUCUUCCCUCUCAUCUCCCCUGUCUCUACUUGGGUCACUGCUUAUAGCUGCAUGAUCUUCCCCAAUGUGAUUACUCUAAGCUUGAAUUUGUGAGCGGAUCCCUCUACAGGAAUUUUUUAAAUAAUUAUAUCCCUACCAUCAUCACCAUCCAACCAAAGAAACCCUAAUCCAAGAUUCAAAACUCCCAAAUCACAAGCAAGCAAUUAGGGAUUUGAGGGAAGCAUUGCAAAGAGAGGAGGAAGGGAGGGUUUGGGGUCGGAGGAGGAGGCGGGGAAUCUUGACUGAGAUUCGGAGAGGGAUCAGAGAUCUGACCUAUAGAAAUCAACCGAUUUGAGCCUGCUGGAGGCGAUCAUGGUUUUCGGAGAGAGGAGGGAGACGAUCAACUUGGAGGUCCGGUGGAAGGAACGGACGUCGCUGGAGCAGAUUUGCUGUCUUCCGUCCCGGACGAGCGAGUGAAUCGACGGCCGGAGGUCGGCAAUCGGUGCGGCGCUACAGAUCCAGAGGACAGAUCCAAAUCGAUGAUCGAACCCGGCCAGAAUUAUCUGCCGGAUUGUUUCAUCUUAUCGCCGGAAAGCUGGUGGUCCUUCUCCCUAACCCUAAUCGGUCAACACCCUUUUGAGAAUUUUGGAUGGUUAGGAGUGUAGACUCGAUUCAAAGUACUCACGCGAUCCAAUCCAUGAUCUUAGGCAAAGUAUUCCACUUCUUAUUUUAUAGGUUCGGUUGGGUAGGGGGUCUCCUUGUCCCAUUAUUUUUAUCUUUUUUGAAUGAGGACCCCUCGACUUUGAUGGGGAUGAAUUCUGCGGAAAGAUCGAUUUCUUCGCUCCGCCUAUGGGUAGAAGAUCGGUAAGUAUGAGGCGUAAGCGAUAAAAGAGAGACAGAGUGGGAUAAGAAAGAAGAUAUUCGUGUAUAGAGUCGGCUAUAGCGCAUUGAUGAACUGACUCCUUGCUUCGCGAAAGCCAACUGCCCUGGUGGAGUGAGAGAUUAAUCUGGACAAGAGAUUGAAUAAGCAGAUUCUAAGUCCGACUUCCCAUUUUCCAUAAGAGGAGGAGACAUAGAAAGGAGUAGGAGAAUGACUGCCCAGCUCACUCAGAACCUGAAGAUCACAUUCUUUUUCUCUUGUCGCUCUAGUAAGAGUAGCUUUAGGGUUUGCGGAAGUGAACUCCUGCCUCAAAUAAAAGAUAUCAUCAUGUUCCCAAGGGAAAGGUUACCACCUUUACCAGAAAAUUGGGACAAGAAUCUCCACUUAGAGUAGAGCCAAACCCUCUAUGAGCCCUCCUUCUUUCUUUCAUGGAAGUAGGCUUAUUCCGCCUUCAACUUCAUGAUUGUAUUCCAGGCGGAACACAACAUCCUUAUGCAUCCAUUUCACAGGUGGACCAGUACUCACUUGAGGAAGACUUUCAACGACUUGGUUUGGUUCCUCAUCUUGGAUCAGGACCGAACACUAGCAACCUAUUCAGGGAAAGAAUCGGUUAUGUAAGAAAUUGGUUGGGGGCUGAGAUAGGUUGAUACUCUGAACAAUAAACAAAACACAUAUUCAAUACCAACCUUUUGUUAUGCUUGAAAAUGGAAUGAGCAUGACCAAAAAAAGAAGAAAUGACUCUUUACGACCCUUUCUAUUGACCUUGACUAGGGCUGAUAUAGGAAAAAGGGGUAAAGUGCAUAAAGAAGAGAUUAUAAGACUUUUAUUUGAUAGAAAUUCAAUAUUCAAGAAAUUCUCUAUUCCUAAUUACUGCGGUACGUAAAAUACAAAUAUCGGAAACCUUGUGCUUAUGCCCGUUUGAAUUUCAAAUAGCAGUGGGGCACUGUGUACUUACAGCCUCUACGAGUUGCAAGUGAAUGGGGCCGGUGCGUGGCGAACGGAACGGUUCAUCAAGCCAUUUCUCGCCUCAACCCCCUAAAUAGGAAGAGGGGUAUANNNNNNNNNNNNNNNNNNNNAUUAUUAUUAUUAUUAUUUUUGUUUUAAAAAUUAUAAAUUUUAUAUGAAGGCAGGUAAGGAAUUGGUUGGGAAUUGGCUUUGGAUUUGAGGUGGGUCAUGAUCGUUGAUUUGCUUGAAAUUGUUCUCGAGCCCAAUGUUAUUUAAAUUUAAUUCUUGCUGAGCUGCUUCAGAUCGAACUCGAUCAGACAAGACUAAAAAUUGGACCGUGACCUAAUAAAAAGGGUUAAUCAAACUUUUGCCCCAUACAUAAUUAAUUAUAACUUUCGAUCGAAUCAGGACCAAAACCUAUUUAAUCAUAGCCUUAGCUUGAUUACAACUCCAUCAGGUUACUAAACCGGGUCAACACAAUCUCCUCCUUAUAUGUUUUCAUGAAAGAUUACAACCAGGAGAGAGACAAGUUCAAAGUCUGUUUUGAGAAAAGAAUUAUUUACCUCUUACCAUAUUUUAAAUUUAUUUCAAUGUUUAUUC
This 2667-nucleotide long non-coding RNA is filed under the name Phoenix dactylifera (date palm). RNAcentral's name for it is "long non-coding RNA (PDAC_LNC007930)". Lineage: Eukaryota; Viridiplantae; Streptophyta; Magnoliopsida; Arecales; Arecaceae. The record is from RNAcentral.